RNAcentral lists this non-coding RNA (182 nucleotides) under Clostridiales bacterium. Its description in RNAcentral is "6S RNA". It matches the Rfam family "6S / SsrS RNA". Rfam says of the family: E. coli 6S RNA was the first non coding RNA to be sequenced, but its function was unknown until recently. It consists of 184 nucleotides that fold into an extended hairpin structure with a large single-stranded internal bulge. The 6S RNA specifically associates with RNA polymerase holoenzyme containing the sigma70 specificity factor. Lineage: Bacteria; Bacillati; Bacillota; Clostridia; Eubacteriales. The record is from RNAcentral.
UAGGCCCUACUAUGUUUGUGAAGUAACCGGUACAGUUUUGAGCUAACACUUUUGAAAUGGGAGCUCGACUCUGUCUGCAGCGUAUAAGCCUUGUUCCAGAGGACAUGCUAAGCAGUCAGGAGGCACCCACCUGUGGGGAGAGCAGUUCAAAACUCAACGGUCCACGGCAUGGUGGGGUUUUU